Molecule: ribosomal RNA, 169 nt
Filed under: uncultured bacterium
Lineage: Bacteria
Description: partial 16S ribosomal RNA
Rfam family: Bacterial small subunit ribosomal RNA
Source: RNAcentral
CCUACGGGAGGCAGCAGUGAGGAAUAUUGGACAAUGGAGGAAACUCUGAUCCAGCCAUGCCGCGUGAGUGAUGAAGGCCUUCGGGUUGUAAAGCUCUUUCGGGUGUGAAAAUGAUGAUGGUAACACCAGAAGAAGCCCCGGCUAACUCCGUGCCAGCAGCCGCGGUAAU